Homo sapiens (human) is the source of this 255-nucleotide long non-coding RNA. RefSeq lists it as uncharacterized. The record is from RefSeq and is a predicted model, not a curated record. NCBI's taxonomy places the organism in Eukaryota, Metazoa, Chordata, Mammalia, Primates, Hominidae. The transcript is spliced from 2 exons.
GUGCUAUUCAGUCAGGCACUGAUGGAUCAGGGAGAACGUGACUCCAGGAUGCAGCAGUUGCGGAAGGAAGAGAAACAGUCAUGGGGAAGAUCUUAGGAAAUUCAACUUUGGCUGGAACCAUCAACUUUGCUACAUCGGCCAAUCCAACCAGCUGGGAAUUCUAGUAAUUUUGCUCACUGCCCCCAGACGACUCUAUCCCCUUAUGAAGGAGACAUAUUUGUAACCCACUGAACAGAAAACUGGCCUUUAAAAUAA